Molecule: ribosomal RNA, 88 nt
Filed under: Escherichia coli
Lineage: Bacteria; Pseudomonadati; Pseudomonadota; Gammaproteobacteria; Enterobacterales; Enterobacteriaceae
Source: RNAcentral
UCUGGCGGCAGUAGCGCGGUGGUCCCACCUGACCCCAUGCCGAACUCAGAAGUGAAACGCCGCAGCGCCGAUGGUAGUGUGGGGUCUC